ACCAUCUUUGUAACGCAAUGUUCCAUAACCGUAUUCUCGGGGAGGAUUAAAAGGGAAUCGGGUGUAAAUCCCGGACAGUCCCGCUGCUGUAAACUUCAUAACGUACCGGAUUGAUCGCCACUGUUUUUAUUUAACGGGAAGGCUUCGGAUAUGGAAGUAAGUCAGAAGACCUGCUUUGCACACAAUUUCAAA
Molecule: non-coding RNA, 192 nt
Filed under: Macellibacteroides sp.
Lineage: Bacteria; Pseudomonadati; Bacteroidota; Bacteroidia; Bacteroidales; Porphyromonadaceae
Source: RNAcentral